RNAcentral lists this ribosomal RNA (497 nucleotides) under uncultured bacterium. Its description in RNAcentral is "partial 16S ribosomal RNA". It matches the Rfam family "Bacterial small subunit ribosomal RNA", at positions 28 to 507 of the family's 1533-position model. The record is from RNAcentral.
GAUGAACGCUGGCGGCGUGCCUAAUACAUGCAAGUCGAGCGAACAGACGAUGAGCUUUCUCCCUUGACGUUAGCGGCUGACGGGUGAGUAACACGUGCAUAACCUACCUAUAUGACUUGGAUAAUUUCGUGAAACCGGUGCCAAUACCGCAUAAUAUAUUCUACCGCUUGGUUCAAUAGUUCUUCACGCUUUUCCCGAUUCUUUUAGCCGGUGUCGUGUCGGAUUAGCUAGUUGGUAAGGUAAAGCCAUACCAAGGCGACGAUGCGUAGCUGACCUGAGAGGAUGAUCAGCCAGACUGGAACUGAGAAACGGACCAGACUCCUACGGGAGGCAGCAGUGGGGAAUAUGGGACAAGGGGCGCAAGCCUGAUCGAGCCAGACAGCGUGGGUGAAGAAGGACUUCGGGUUGUAAAGCCCUGUUGUUGGGAAAGAAAAGAAGCAGGUUAAGAACCAGAUGUUCUGACGGUACCCAAAGAAUAAGCACCGGCUAACUUCGUG